Molecule: ribosomal RNA, 349 nt
Filed under: uncultured bacterium
Lineage: Bacteria
Description: partial 16S ribosomal RNA
Rfam family: Bacterial small subunit ribosomal RNA
Source: RNAcentral
CCUACGGGUGACAGCAGUCGAGAAUCAUUCACAAUGGGGGAAACCCUGAUGGUGCGACGCCGCGUGGGGGAAUGAAGGUCUUCGGUUUGUAAACCCCUGUCAUGUGGGAGCAAAUUACAAAGAUAGUACCACAAGAGGAAGAGACGGCUAACUCUGUGCCAGCAGCCGCGGUAAUACAGAGGUCUCAAGCGUUGUUCGGAAUCAUUGGGCGUAAGGCGUGCGUAGGCGGUUUCGUAAGUCGUGUGUGAAAGGCCCGGGCUCAACCCGCGAACGGCCCAUGAUACUGGGAGACUAGAGUAAAGGUGGGGGAGGCGGAAUGCACGGUGUAGCAGUGAAAUGCGUAGAGAUC